GCCCCUUUAGCUCAGUCGGUAGAGCGUCUCCAUGGUAAGGAGAAGGUCAGCAGUUCGAAUCUGCUAGGGGGCUC
RNAcentral lists this transfer RNA (74 nucleotides) under Acidipropionibacterium virtanenii. RNAcentral describes it as "tRNA-Thr". It matches the Rfam family "tRNA". Rfam says of the family: Transfer RNA (tRNA) molecules are approximately 80 nucleotides in length. Their secondary structure includes four short double-helical elements and three loops (D, anti-codon, and T loops). Further hydrogen bonds mediate the characteristic L-shaped molecular structure. tRNAs have two regions of fundamental functional importance: the anti-codon, which is responsible for specific mRNA codon recognition, and the 3' end, to which the tRNAs corresponding amino acid is attached (by aminoacyl-tRNA synthetases). tRNAs cope with the degeneracy of the genetic code in two manners: having more than one tRNA (with a specific anti-codon) for a particular amino acid; and 'wobble' base-pairing, i.e. permitting non-standard base-pairing at the 3rd anti-codon position. The record is from RNAcentral. Lineage: Bacteria; Bacillati; Actinomycetota; Actinomycetes; Propionibacteriales; Propionibacteriaceae.